GAUGAACGCUAGCUACAGGCUUAACACAUGCAAGUCGAGGGGAAACGAUAGAGAAAGCUUGCUUUUUCUAGGCGUCGACCGGCGCACGGGUGAGUAACGCGUAUCCAACCUGCCCAUCACUUGGGGAUAACCUUGCGAAAGUAAGACUAAUACCCAAUGACGUCUCUAGAAGACAUCUGAAAGAGAUUAAAGAUUUAUCGGUGAUGGAUGGGGAUGCGUCUGAUUAGCUUGUUGGCGGGGUAACGGCCCACCAAGGCGACGAUCAGUAGGGGUUCUGAGAGGAAGGUCCCCCACAUUGGAACUGAGACACGGUCCAAACUCCUACGGGAGGCAGCAGUGAGGAAUAUUGGUCAAUGGGCGAGAGCCUGAACCAGCCAAGUAGCGUGCAGGAUGACGGCCCUAUGGGUUGUAAACUGCUUUUAUAAGGGAAUAAAGUGAGUCUCGUGAGACUUUUUGCAUGUACCUUAUGAAUAAGGACCGGCUAAUUCCGUGCCAGCCGCCGCCGUAA
This 508-nucleotide ribosomal RNA is filed under the name uncultured bacterium. RNAcentral's name for it is "partial 16S ribosomal RNA". It matches the Rfam family "Bacterial small subunit ribosomal RNA", at positions 28 to 523 of the family's 1533-position model. The record is from RNAcentral.